RNAcentral lists this ribosomal RNA (465 nucleotides) under uncultured bacterium. RNAcentral's name for it is "partial 16S ribosomal RNA". It matches the Rfam family "Bacterial small subunit ribosomal RNA", at positions 28 to 507 of the family's 1533-position model. The record is from RNAcentral.
GACGAACGCUGGCGGCGUGCUUAACACAUGCAAGUCGAACGGAAAGGCCCCUUUGGGGGUACUCGAGUGGCGAACCGGUGAGUAACACGUGAGUAACCUGCCCUUGACUUCGGGAUAACUUCAGGAAACUGGGGCUAAUACCGGAUAGGAAUCCUUGCUGCAUGGUGGGGGUUGGAAAGCUUCGGCGGUUUUGGAUGGACUCGCGGCUUAUCAGCUUGUUGGUGGGGUAGUGGCUUACCAAGGCUUUGACGGGUAGCCGGCCUGAGAGGGCGACCGGCCACAUUGGGACUGAGAUACGGCCCAGACUCCUACGGGAGGCAGCAGUGGGGAAUAUUGCACAAUGGGCGGAAGCCUGAUGCAGCAACGCCGCGUGCGGGAUGACGGCCUUCGGGUUGUAAACCGCUUUCAGCAGGGGCGAAGCUUGUGGUGACGGUACCUGCAGAAGAAGCACCGGCUAACUACGUG